CAUUUGCAGGAUGAAAGGCUGGCUACCUUGAGUUAUAAACAGGAUUAUGCAAAUCAUGGAUUGGCAUAUCUCAUCGACUUUGUACAUGGAAAAGCACGGAAAAUGCCUGAAAUUUUGCAGCUGGAGCAACAGAAACUUCCAGGGAAGUCCCCUCAUUUGCUCACAUAUAAAGGAACUCCAAAUCUGAAGGUGUUCUUCUACCUUGUGCUUUGUUUUCUACUG
This is a non-coding RNA of Cajanus cajan (pigeon pea), 222 nucleotides long. Lineage: Eukaryota; Viridiplantae; Streptophyta; Magnoliopsida; Fabales; Fabaceae. The record is from RefSeq and is a predicted model, not a curated record.